UGAAGAGUCCGUGCAACUUAUCUUCAAACAUAAAUGUACUACAAACUUCAUAUAUACACUAAACAUCUUUAUUGCUCGAAGUAGGAAACAUAAUAACUUUAUUAAACACACUAAUCACAAACAAAAUACACUCAAAACUCAAACAUUAACACAACAUUAACCACUACUUAGGCCAUAGGGUCUAAUACAUAAAAACACACAUUAAUUAGCUUAUAAACACAAGUAAAAUACUUAAUGAGAACCAAUUACUAAAUGACAAGAUUAGCAUAAUCUAACUUGCCUUUGAUAUUAUUAUUUUUUUAACUAUAAAUAUAUAGUAAUUUCUAUAUAUAGAGUCCAUCAAGAGACUCAAAUGCCAAAGGAUAAAGAAGUUGCCCUUAAUUUCAUGAAGAAAAUGGUAAUCACCUUACACCAUGGGACUAAUCAAGAUUAAUAUUAAUUAAUCAUGACUAUUAAUCAAGAUUAAUCUUCAUAAUCUGACGAUCCCAGUCUUUUUUGUUUGCGCAGUAGUUCUUCCUCUUCCUCCAUCGAACGAAAAUUACUAUAUAUUAAGAAAAUUACACUUAGAGAGUACUUUGAUUAACUUAUAAUAAGGAGGGAAUUAAUAUUUGGUGAUGUUCAUGAAGACAAAUAUAUAAAGAGUGAAAUGAAGGUGACUUAAUUAGUAGCUAGGGAGAAUAUAAUUAAUGUGAUCACUUUUAGGUAAAGUACAAAUAAAAAUGAACCAACAUGGGUUGUGGACCUGUGGUGCAGUGGUGAGACUAUUUUAUCCUUAACAAGAGGUCUCGGAUUCGAGCCCUGAGUAUAGAGAAAAUCUUGUUGGGAACGUCACUCCCAGAAUGAGCCCUGCAGUGCGCAAUCCGAAUUAAUCGUGACGAACACUAGGUGGGACACCAAAAAAAAUGAAGGUACCUUAUUAGGGAUAUGCCAUUGGUACCUCUUACAAUAUCAGAAAUUGCUUUAGGUCAUAUAUUUAAAUUAUAACUGCGUCAUUCUAGAAUUAUUUUUAAAAUUUUGUUAUAUAAAUUUCUGAUCUCGUUACUAGCUAUAUAUAUACCUGUACAUAUCUUUAUCUAAAUGUUGAAUAGAAUUGGAAAAAAAGCAGUACACUAUAU
This 1115-nucleotide long non-coding RNA is filed under the name Capsicum annuum. Its description in RNAcentral is "long non-coding RNA (CANN_LNC014995)". Lineage: Eukaryota; Viridiplantae; Streptophyta; Magnoliopsida; Solanales; Solanaceae. The record is from RNAcentral.